GCAAAAUACAUAAACUUUCAUCUAUUUAUCAAACCUUCAACUCAACAUUACUUAGUAGUAAAGUUAAUACUGUCUUAGCUAUAUUUGGAACUACAUUUAAACAAGUAAAAACAAACAGAAAUAAUUUAAAAAAUAUAUAAUUUGUAAAAGGAGUAAAAUCUUACACAAAAAUGACUCUUAGCUAUGUCUAUAUUGAACAGAAAAUGAAAUCAAGUUAAUAUCUCCCUAUGUUAACCCUGUUGGCAUUAUGGUAAAUGCCACUCAUGAGAUGAGGAUGGGUGUUCAGAAAGGUUCAUGAUAGCUCCCAAAAGGUAAGGCCCUGGAGAAAUGCGGGGUGGAGAGGGGUGGUGGACAGUAGGGCACUGCAGUGUGUUUCUGCAUAUGUUUGUGGAAGGAGGUAGGUAUGUGUUUGUGUCACAGACAGAGACACAGAGAAAGAAAUAGAGAAAGAGAGAGAGAGAGAUUGAGACAGAGAGAAUAGAGCACUCUUACCCCAGGUAAAGCCUGUGGCAAAAAUUUAUAUAUUAACCCUCUGUUGGCAGGGCGUUAUCCCAAGAAAUCCAGAGUGAGAGAAAAAAGCAGAGUGAGAUAGAGAAGAGGGAGGGAGAAGAAUAACAAGGAGUCCAUUACCAGGUUAACCACAGCUUCACAGAGGCACAGAUGGCUGCUUUGUCUGGUGGGACAGCUUCUGGAGGCCAUCUACUGCAUCUCAGGAGAGUCCACGGGAGUGGGAGAAAGGACAAACCUUUCACCCACUGAUUCUUUCCAGUUUCAUAUCUCUCCUGUGUCUGCUCCAUGUUGUGAUAUUACCCCUGAACCUUUGCUUCAUGUUACUGGACAGCUCUGGGAAACCCCUGGUGACAGCUGCAUGUGAGGAGCUUCUCAGUGGAUGGCAGUGGAGAUAGCAGGGACUUUAUGAUGGCAGGGGAUGACCUGAACCAUCUCUAGAAUCAUUGUUGCCAGGGAGAAGGCAGAACCAGGCUGAUCUUGGGUGGUGCAGAAACUGAGGUCAUUUUACACACUGCAGAUAAUCUAUACUCUUGCAUAACCACCAUCAAUAGCAUCAUUUAUUUACUGCUUACAUAUAUUUACUGCUUACUAUAUUCCAGGCUUCAUUGUCUUAACAUUCUACUUAAAUUAUAUUUUCUAAUGUUCAAACACAUGUAAGAAAAAUACUAAUGUUAUUUCUGUUUUACAGAUACAUGAGCUGAGACAUGGAGGGUGCAAGGUAGAGUUGGGCAAGCUACCCAAUAAAUCUUGAUCACAGAACUUCUGGGCCUUACUGUGCCAAAGUUUCAUAGAGCAAAUUAAACCCACUGAAUGAGGAAUGUAUUUUAAUUUUAUUAAUUUUCAAUGGUGGACUCAAAUUAUUUCAGAAUUCAUAAUAACUUCUUGUACAACAAUUAAUUUUUAAGAAUAAUUUCCAGCUGAGUAGCUUUUAAGGCAGUUUUACAAAGAGUGUCUCCUCUUUUACAUUUGCUUCUCUUUUCAAAUGUCGUCCUUUUGAUUAUUUCACUGCAAUUUAGCAUCUCCAGAAAAAAAAAGGAAGAGAGGAAAGAAAUUUAGUAAGCAUUCAUUUAUUAUCAUAGCCCCAAAAUGGCUGAUUGUAAAAGGUGGUUUAAAUAAAAUUUUUAGGAAAUCUGAAAUCUUCAUCUGCCUAUCAUCUUCCAUGAUCACAAAUAAUUUAGUGUUGAGAGUCCCUGGGUGAGGCCAGCUUAGAAAUACUCAACUGAAAAUUACUACAUUCUGACCAUUUCUUAGUAGCUUUUGAAAGUAUGAAGCACCAUGGAUAACUUAGCAGCCAGCUAAAAACCAAAUGCUAUGAGCAAUGCCAAUUAUUUUAUUGGCAUUCAAUUGACAAAUAAAAUGGGUGGGCUUGGUGUUAUGACUAAUAAUAGCUCACUCAGUUAUGCAUUUUGUUCACGAAGAAAAUUGUACAUCUUGACCUUGAGGGAAAAUAGUCGUAAUUUUGAGGGUAGUCUUAAUGUAAUUAUUACCAUCUGGGCCUUCCAUAGACUUUCCCCCUGCAUUUCUAGUACUGCUAGCAGCCACAUUCUUGAUUCUGUUACUGAGGAUGCCUUGGAAUAAUAGUGACCUCACAGGAAUGAUUAAUGACUCUUAAUCAAAAAAUAGGGGAGAGGUUUCCAAGCCUCAGUCUAAGCACUAAAUAUAAUUAGCAUAUUCACUUUUAGAAGCUAGUCACUAUAGUCUGUGCUGUCACUUCUUGACUGAAACUUGUGAAUAAUUAUUUCACAUCCCUUAAUUUAUUGCAGUGACCUCUUUCUGCUGAACAUGGUUUUAAUUUUGGGAGAAGACUGCCUGUUGCGUGACUUCUUAGGGGCUGCGCUUUUGAUGUUGGAUAGUUUGUCCUUAGUAAUAGUCUAAUUAUCCCACUGAAGGAGAUGUUUUGUUUUCAAAGGGGAUUAUUCAUGGCCUAACUCAGAUACCCAAAAGCUGCCAAGUAAUAAAGAGAUAGUUAAAAUUCUAAAUCAACUUGCCUAACUAACUAAAAGCCAGUAGUGUUGGUGUUAUUUUGUUGACUGCACUAUUGCAUUCUUCUUGUAGAACUGCAUACUUGAAGGGGUGGGGUCUGCUUUGCGUUUCAUCUAAAAUGGCUUUUAUAGCCCUUAGAAAGCUGGAAAUCUGCUUCAUGUUUAACAUCUCUUUCCACAACAAUUUAGGUUCAUCUUUUUGUUACUUCAGUCACUGGAAAACUUCAAUGUUCAGCUGUUGUUUUUUUCAAACCUCAAAGCAAUGAAGACCCUCAGUAUCUUUUUAUAUUGAAACAUGUUCUAAUACAAUCUUCUACUGUUGAUCUAUUACUUUAAUAUUCAGUCUUUUUUUUUUUUUUUUUGAGGCAGGGUCUCAUUCUGUCGCCCAGGCUGGAAUGCACUGGCAUGACCAUAGCUCACUGCAGCCUCCAUCUCCCGGGCUCAGGCAAUCCUCCUACCUCAGCCUCCCAAGUAGCUGGGACUAUGGGGCUGCCCCACCACACCUGGCUAAUUUUUAAAUUUUGAAUUUUAAAUUUCUUUUUUUUUUUUUUUUUUUUUUUGAGAUGGAGUUUUGCUCUUUUGCCCAGGCUGGAGUGAAGUGGCAUGAUCUCAGCUCAUUGCAACCUCCGCCUCCCAGGUUCAAGCAAUUCUCCUGCCUCAGCCUCCUGAGUAGCUAGGAUUACAUGCACCCACCACCACGCCUGGCCAAUUUUUUUGUAUUUUUAAUAAAGAAAGGGUUUUGCCAUUUUGGCCAGGCUGGUCUUGAACUCCUGACCUCAGGUGACCCACCCGCCUCGGCCUCCCAAAGUGCUAGGAUUAUAAGCAUGAGCCACCACGCCCAGCCUAAAUUUCUAUUUUUUAGACAUGAGGGUCUCAUUAUGUUGCCCAGGCCGGUCUUGAGCUCCUGGACUCAAGUGAUCCUCCCACCUUGGCCUCCCAAAGUGCUGUGAUUAUGGGCCUGAGCCACCAAGUCCUGCAUUAUAUUCAGUCUUAAUGUCCCUAGCACCACAACUGAAAGUCCUGCUAGAGUCUUUGAUUCUAGUUUUAACCUUAUUUCCUAAUAAGUAAUAAAUUAUACUUUAUUCGACAUCUAGCUUCUGCUUUGGUGAGUUGGAAAUGUCCCACCUUGUGGGAAACGUGUCUAAGCAUUUCUCUUCCCGAUUUUGUACUUAGCAAGGGAGAAACUUCUUGAUGUCAGGCUGUAGUUUCUGUCUCCCUUCGUCCUCCUCCAUCUCCCCACCUAGAGUUAACACAAGAUGGGAACAAAAGAAAAACAGUGAAUGCCAAAGAAAGACCAGAAGUAAGUACAUGAGACAAAAAUCCAAGGCAGGAAAAACACUGAAAUAAUAAUAGCACGAAACAAUGGAGAAUUAAAGAAGAAUGGCAAAUAUGACUGAGUCCUCUAAACAGUUGGCUAUAGCUCCACAAUGGAAAGUCCUGCUAGGGUCUUUGAUUCUGUCCCCUAAACCAUCCCAGAUAGUUAUGUAGCAUGUGGCCUCAAAGGAGGGAGAUUUUCAUCCUUGUCCUAAGGAACAUGUUUCUGGGCUUCCCUUAUCUCCCUAAUCUAAUCUUACCUCAAAGCCUGCUGCCACCAUUCAGUUAUUCUUUUUACCCCUACUCGAUAUACAAAAUAAUUAUUAUUUGUGAUAUAAAAGUUCUUUUAAGCCCAAGACAGUGACUAAGUUACAUCUCAAAUAUUUUCUAAUCAAGAUAUUCUUAUUUUCAAGUACAAUAUUCCUAGGCCUCUGGUCUGGGUCUCUGUACAGACAACAUAGCCGUCACUAUGUAGCAAAUAAUAAAAUUAAUGUGACUUGCAAUAUUAAUCAACUAUUAGACAAAAGUUCAUGAGGCGUUGUGCCAUUUUUCAUGUUAGCAAUAGCUUUUAGCAUUUUGUUUCUUUAUUCCUAAAAUAUGGAAAAAUUCUUUGUCAUAGUUGCAUUUCAAAAUGACCCAAAUACUCCUGCCAAAAUAAACAACCCUAGGUUUAUUUUCAUUAUAAGUUUCCCUCUCUUUACUGCCCAUUGGCUUCAUUUUUUAACCUUGUUUUGCCUUUUUUCCCCUCUGAAAACCGAAAAUUUAAAUUUUCUGGUUUUAAAUUUUUUUAUGUCUUAUUGGAGUUUUAGCUGACUGUAGUCUUUUUCAUGUCAGUAUUAUUCAAGUUUCGGAAAAGUCUCUUUACCAUCUAUUAACAACUAAAUAAUUAUAAAUUGUUGGCCAAAAAAAAGAGAAAGAAGAAAAGAAAAAGAAAGAAAGGAAGAAAGAAAGAAAGAGAAGGAAGGAAGGAAAGAAAGAAAGAAAGAAAGGAAAGAAAGGAAGAGUAGUGGGGGAAAAGAAUAAAAUUUGCCUGCACCUUUUUGUUGUUUUUUUUUUUCUCUUCUCUUUUUAUUUUUUAAUUUUGCCUACACCUUUUAAAGCAAAACAAUUACAUUUUUUCUUUUAGUUUUAUAAACUAAUGAAAUUAAUCUGUUCCAACUCAAUCAGUUGUUUCAUACUGGAAAAUGUCACACAUCGGGGCUUUUAGGAAGGAAUCAUUGCCGUGCCUUGGUGAAGGGUGAGUAUGGCUUUAACAACUGCUGGUGGAGGAGCCUUGGAGGAAAGAACAGGAUAGUAAAUGCAAUUGCUUGUCUCCUGAGAGUUAACUCACAGUCCAGAUGUCCUACCACCUAUCUACCUGUAGUCUGAAGGCACUUUGUGAGUAAUAAAAGCAUGUAAAUUGUAAAUUCUUCUCCUUUUCUCUUUCAAUAUCUUACAAUGUAUCAAUGACAAUUGCUAUUGUUAUUGGUAACAGGUUGAUGUCAUACCGAAGGCUUUGGAGCCAAAAAAGCUUGUGUUUGAACUCCGGCCCCACCAUUGUAUGGUCUUAGACAAAUGACUUAACCUCUUUAAGCCUUGAUGUCCAUACUGUAAAAAACGAGACAAUAAAACCUACUUAUUGUAAGGAUAUAAUGACAUUAUUAACAUAUCUAUUCUAUUGCCUGAUGCAUAGCAUAAGCUCAAAAAUACUAGUUUUCCUAUUCUAAAAUGUUUAAAAAAAAUUAUAAUCCAUACCUCUUCUACUUCAGAAAGUGUUUUAAUACAUAAAAGCAGUGAUUUAGCAAUAUCAAAUCGAAGUUUGAGAGCCAGAAGAACUUGGAGGACCAUUGAUUUUAAAGGUUUCUUUGUUUUUUAUGAACAACAGGAAUUUCCUCUUAUGUCUUCAGAACCUUGAGUUUACCAGGAAGACAAGGUGACUGAGAUACUUCUUUAAGCCCAGAAACUGAAGAAGGCAGCUGUCAGGGAUGGCUUGGAAUGUUCUACAAGUAACUAAAAAAGUUUCCAGCUCUCCUGUCACAAAGUGGCUAUUGAGACUUCAAAUGUCAGAUGAUCUCCUUUGAAGCAGCAAAAUAGAGUGGAUAGAACUCCAGGAUGGAUGUCAAAAAACUCUGUGAUCCUAGUUCUAACUCAAAUUUACCUUUCAUAUGGUAUGAGGUUGGCAACAAAUGAUUCAUGGACCACCACUCAUCUAUAGACCAGACAUUAGUAAGAUGUGCUUGCUUCUCCUUCGCCUUUCACCAUGACUGUAAGUUUCCAGAGGCCUCCCAGUCAUGGUUCCUGUUAAGCUUGCAGAACGUGCACACAACCUGGAGCAAAGAGAUGUCAACGUAGACUUGAAAGCCUCAACAAACAUCUAUACAUUCAAAAUUCAGAGGAUAAUUGCAGACUUACAUGUUAAAUGAUGCCACAGGCUUGUGGUGAAUGUACAAAUCUAAUUCCCUAAACCUAUGAUACUACAGCUGACCCUUGAACAACAUGGGUUUGGACUACACGGUUCCAGCUAUACACGAUGUUUUUCAGCCAAACACAGAUCAAAAAUGCAGUAUUUGUGGGAUAUGGAACUUACCUAUAUGGAAGGCUGACUUUUCUUAUACUUUGGUUCCAUGGGGCUGACUGCAAGAUUUGAGUAUGCUUGUAUUUUGGUAUACUCAGGCCAGCGCCCUGGAAUCAAUUCCCUGCAUAUACCCAAGGAUGGUUGCAUUUAGAUAAUCGGAGCAUUACAAUGCCAUUUGUUAUGCAAAGAACAGCUUCUAUAAUUUGUGAAAUUUCAGUGAAAAAUAAAAUAUAAAGAUUUCACUCUAUUAAACUCUAUUAUUACUAAGAAAAUGAGAACUGAGUCUCAAAGGUAGUUAAUACAACGUAUUGAUCCAGCAGAAAUAGCUAUUCCUAUGAAUGCCAAAAUGAUUAGUCACUUUGUUAUUAAAUCAGCCUCACUGAUUAUUUUAGAUAUUAUAAACGGAAGUGAUUUUCAAUUUUCAACCCAACCAGAUGUUAUUGGCGUGCAUCAAACACAGAUAAGAGUGAAUCUACUCAGAAGAAAAUCAAGGAGAAUAUAGCUAAAAAUAUGCUAUGAGGCUAAUGUUCUGUUUAAAGAAAGGCUUAUUUGAUAUUUCUAUAGUGUUGAAUGACAUUUUCCGGAAAAAAAAUUGUUAAAUUUUAAAUAGAUUAUAUAAUGUAAUACCAAAAUUAUUUCAAUAAUGUUAUUAGAAAUAUGCUUUUUUUUUUUUUGAGACGCAGUCUCACUCUGUCACCUAGGCUGCAGUGCAGUGGCAUGAUCUCAGCUCACUGCAACCUCUGCCUCCUGAGUUCAAGCAAUUCUCCUGCCUCAGCCUCCCAGGUAGCUGGGAUUCCAAGCGUGCACCACCAUGCCCAGCUAAUUUUUGUGUUUUCAGUAGAGACAGGGUUUCACCAUGUUGGCCAGGCUGGUCUCAAACUCCUGACCUCAAGUGAUCAUCCCGCCUCAGCCCCCCAAAGUGUUGGGAUUACAGGCAUGAGCCACCACACCUGGCCAGAAAUAUGCAUAUUUUUGAUUUUGCAUUUUCUAGUCCAUGUUUUCCAUCAUAAAAUAGGUUUUUCCAAAAAUUGAAUUAUUUACAAAAAUUUAAAAAAAUCCUUCAUCUUUAGAAUGUAUUUUUUGAAUUAUCAUUCGUUAUACCAGAAGAUACUUAAUUUAAGAAACACAUAAUUUCCUUAUUAAUAUUCUACAAUAAAUUUCUUAGGCUCAUUGUUCUUUAAUAUAUAGGCAAAAAUAUUUGGUGAUUUCUUAAACAAUUGGGUCCAAAUACUGCCUUAAUUUCAUUUCCUACCAAUGAAUUCAUUCCCUUAAAACCAGAGAGAUUCCAGUUUUUUACACACGUUCCCCAAGAAACUGAAUAUUUUAGGCUUACCACAAAACAGACAGUAAUAAAAUUAUAAAAGCAGAGAUGUACAAACAUGACUCCAGAGGUCUCAAAAUGUCUCUAACAGGGGAUGCCUGACAUUAUGGCAAACUAAGCUUGCUAGAUAUUCAGCUUCUUACCACAAACACAUUAAAAAAUCAUGACUAGAAGAUAAAGAUAAAAUAUUUAAAUAAAGACAUUUUAAUUACAUACGUUAGCUCAAAAGAAAAAAAAAAGUGAAACAUCUAAGCCAGAAGGAUUAAAUACAUUUAUAUUCUGGCCACUUCUGGGGGAGUUGCAUCCUGUUCUAGGUUUGGGACACUGGAGUUCUAAUAUUUUUAAGGACACAAAAGAUGACUCUUCUAGCAUGUGAAGACAGAAGAAACUGGAACUGAACCCCUUACAUAAAACCUAGAGCCUUUCAGAUCUGUCCUAUUGUUAAUAGGAGAAUAGAAAAAAUGCCACAGAAUGAUCUGAGUAAGCAGCAAUAUAGCUCAUCUUGCUCAAGAGCUAUUUUAUGAAAAGAAAAUAAGAGUCACAGGAGAAAUCAAAAUUCCAAUAAAGAUGUGAGCCCAGGUCUUUCUUAUUUCAAAGCUCUUGAUUUUUGCUUUGGUCUCUGCUGGCCUUCCUUUCUCUGAAUUGUCUUUAUGUUAUGUAGAGUAAAGAGAGUUUUAUUCUUGAACCCAGAACCAAAGCUAUACACAAACUAUUCUCACAACUUUUUUUUUUAAAGACAUGCCAUCCUAUCGACCUUGUUAAAUGAUUUUUUUUGGAAUGAUAGGGCAUUCCUCCUACUUUUCCUGCAAUUAUUUUCUAGCAUAGAUCUCAAAGAUCUGCAAACUAGUAAACAAUAAACCUAAAGCAGUAAAAACUUCAGACCCCUGCAUCCAAGCUUAAUUAAGUCAGAAAUUGAAUUCCAUUAUGUCAUGGGAUAUGCCCUAGAGAAUUGUAUUGAUUCUCUCCUCUACGCCCAAAUGCACUUGAGCUAAAAGGCAUCUUUGCAAUCACAAAGCAUCCCAGCCUGGAGAAAGCUAUAUUUUGAGAAAGAAUGUAGGUAGGUAUUCAUAUUAGAUGUGGGAAUCAAAGUCACCUUAAGUACAAUCUUGAUGUUACACUUGUGUUUUAAAAAAAUGGGAAGUUGGAGAUGAACUCGUUCAUGGAGCUCAGAAUUAUUUGCUGUUUGACCAAUAUUGUACCAUAUAAGCCGUGUUAUCUGUAAAACUAUACAUUCAUGUAUUAAAUAUGUAUAAAAGGUAAGAGGAUUGUUCUUUUAUUG
This 8960-nucleotide long non-coding RNA is filed under the name Homo sapiens (human). RNAcentral's name for it is "HSALNT0367772". Lineage: Eukaryota; Metazoa; Chordata; Mammalia; Primates; Hominidae. The record is from RNAcentral.